GCCUUUGUAGUGUAGUGGUCAGCACGCUCGACGCGUAACCGAGAGGCCCAUGGUUCGAUUCCCGGAGAAGGCG
RNAcentral lists this transfer RNA (73 nucleotides) under Stegodyphus mimosarum. It matches the Rfam family "tRNA". Rfam says of the family: Transfer RNA (tRNA) molecules are approximately 80 nucleotides in length. Their secondary structure includes four short double-helical elements and three loops (D, anti-codon, and T loops). Lineage: Eukaryota; Metazoa; Arthropoda; Arachnida; Araneae; Eresidae. The record is from Rfam by way of RNAcentral.